This is a long non-coding RNA of Ostrea edulis (European flat oyster), 356 nucleotides long. RefSeq lists it as uncharacterized. NCBI's taxonomy places the organism in Eukaryota, Metazoa, Mollusca, Bivalvia, Ostreida, Ostreidae. The record is from RefSeq and is a predicted model, not a curated record. The transcript is spliced from 2 exons.
AUGCUGUAGUUUACUGCAAACAUGAAGCAGAGAAACGUUACGUUCUUGUACUGUUCCUGCAAUUCUGAUUUCUAAAGAUGAACUCGAAAACCUUCCUUAUCCUGCUGUGUCUCUUCUCUCUGAUGAUUGCAGACUACUCUGUCCAAGGACGAGGUGCUUGUAGGUCACUUCUUGGGUGCAAAGGAUGCAGAGCAGGAUGCCAGAUGAUGGGAUACCGGAUAGGAUCCUGCAGACGCUCACGGACGUGCCCAAAAAGAAGGAGAUAUAAGUGCAGAUGUAUGAAGAGACUUGGCUGAUGUAAACAGAAAACCUGUAUCAAUUCAUAAAAUAAAUUGAAAGUAAUGCAAAUAUCAAAA